GCGUAUCGGAUGUUCCGAUUCCGCGUAGGCCGUGCAAACGGCUAAGUCAAACAGAAAGUAGAAAACACAUGGCCACUGGCACUGUGAAAUGGUUCAACGCUGAAAAGGGCUUCGGCUUCAUCGCUCCCGAUGACGGCUCGGACGACCUUUUCGCCCACUACUCGGCUAUCGCCGGCUCCGGUUUCAAGGAGCUCCGCGAGAACCAGAAGGUCGAAUUCGACGCUGAGCGUGGCCCCAAGGGCAUGCAGGCGGCGAACAUCCGCGCUCUCUGAGCGCGCGCUGACUUCCUGAACCGGCCGGACCCCUCGGGGUCCGGCCGGUUU
This 323-nucleotide small RNA is filed under the name Microbacterium sp. SA39. RNAcentral's name for it is "cspA". The record is from RNAcentral. Lineage: Bacteria; Bacillati; Actinomycetota; Actinomycetes; Micrococcales; Microbacteriaceae.